UACGUAGGGUGCGAGCGUUGUCCGGAUUUAUUGGGCGUAAAGAGCUCGUAGGCGGUCUGUCGCGUCGGAUGUGAAAACCCAGGGCUCAACCCUGGGCCUGCAUUCGAUGCGGGCAGACUAGAGUACGGCAGGGGAGACUGGAAUUCCUGGUGUAGCGGUGAAAUGCGCAGAUAUCAGGAGGAACACCGAUGGCGAAGGCAGAUCUCUGGGCCGUUACUGACGCUGGAGGAGCGAAAGCGUGGGGAGCGAACAGG
RNAcentral lists this ribosomal RNA (254 nucleotides) under uncultured bacterium. Its description in RNAcentral is "partial 16S ribosomal RNA". It matches the Rfam family "Bacterial small subunit ribosomal RNA", at positions 524 to 776 of the family's 1533-position model. The record is from RNAcentral.